RNAcentral lists this ribosomal RNA (433 nucleotides) under uncultured bacterium. Its description in RNAcentral is "partial 16S ribosomal RNA". It matches the Rfam family "Bacterial small subunit ribosomal RNA", at positions 29 to 507 of the family's 1533-position model. The record is from RNAcentral.
AACGAACGCUGGCGGCAUGCCUAACACAUGCAAGUCGAACGAGACCUUCGGGUCUAGUGGCGCACGGGUGCGUAACGCGUGGGAACCUGCCCUUAGGUUCGGAAUAACUCCCCGAAAGGGGUGCUAAUACCGGAUAAUGUCUUCGGACCAAAGAUUUAUCGCCUUUGGAUGGGCCCGCGUUGGAUUAGCUAGUUGGUAGGGUAAAAGCCUACCAAGGCGACGAUCCAUAGCUGGUCUGAGAGGAUGUUCAGCCACACUGGGACUGAGACACGGCCCAGACUCCUACGGGAGGCAGCAGUGGGGAAUAUUGGACAAUGGGCGAAAGCCUGAUCCAGCAAUGCCGCGUGAGUGAUGAAGGCCUUAGGGUUGUAAAGCUCUUUUACCCGGGAUGAUAAUGACAGUACCGGGAGAAUAAGCUCCGGCUAACUCCGUG